UAUACAAUUUAACCCUGGUUGAAGUUGAAAUAUAUCUAAUGAUGCUAUAUACGUUUAUUAUAUUAUGCUAAUCCUUGAGCAUAUAAAUUCGAGGUGGUUGUAGUAGUGAGAUCUAUCGUUAUAAAGAAAUUUAGUGAUGGUUGUUAGAUAGUAGAAGAGGCUAAAGCACAGUGCCAGCAGCCGCGGUUAUACUGUAAUUCUUCUUAUUUCUUUUUUGGUUAAAACUUUUAUUGAAAUUUAAAUAAAAUUGGUUGGUUAAAUAGGUUUUUUUUUGAGAAUACUUCAAUGAUGUGUAAAGUUCCAGUAUAAAGACAGGGAUUAGAUACCCCUUUAUUAGGAUAAAAAAUUUUUGUCCACGGUUUCAAACUGAAAGGGUUUGGCAGCAAACUAAAUUCUUCCGGGGGAAGGUGCUUAUUAAAGAGAUGAUCCGCUUAUUAAUUUACUAUAUCUAGUGUUAGUGUAUAUCCGUUUGUAUAUUCACGCUUAGAGGUCAUAAGUGGGUAAAUAUUAAAUAAUU
This 517-nucleotide ribosomal RNA is filed under the name Schistosoma japonicum. RNAcentral describes it as "partial small subunit ribosomal RNA". Lineage: Eukaryota; Metazoa; Platyhelminthes; Trematoda; Strigeidida; Schistosomatidae. The record is from RNAcentral.